AACGAACGCUGGCGGCAGGCUUAACACAUGCAAGUCGAACGCAUGCCUUCGGGCAUGGGUGGCAGCCGGGUGAGUAACGCGUGGGAACAUACCCCUUGGUCCGGGACAGCUCCGGGGAACUGGAGAUAGUAACGUAUGUGUACUGAGGGACAAAGCUUCUUCGCCAAGGGAUGGGCUCGCGACGGUUUAGCUAGUGGGUAGGGUAACGGCCUACUCAGGAGGGGAGGCGGGGCUGGUCUAAGAGGAGGCUAAGCCAGGAUGGGACUGAGACACGGCCCAAACUGCUACGGAAGGCAGCAGUGUGGAAUAUUGGACAAUGAGCGCAAACCUGAUCCAGCCACGCCGCGUGAGUGGUGAAGGCCGUAGGGUUGUAAAGCUCUUUCACCGGUGACGAUAAUGACGGUAACCGGAGAAGAAGCCCCGGCUAACUUCGUG
RNAcentral lists this ribosomal RNA (435 nucleotides) under uncultured bacterium. RNAcentral's name for it is "partial 16S ribosomal RNA". It matches the Rfam family "Bacterial small subunit ribosomal RNA", at positions 29 to 507 of the family's 1533-position model. The record is from RNAcentral.